CUGUAUCACAUCUCCCCUGGACCCACAUAGCAGUGGACUUCAUCACAGACCUGCCUGCUUCGCAAGGGUACAAUGUCAUAAUGAACGUAUCAGCUCUGAAGUACAGCAUUCUUGUAAUGAGGAGGUUGGUGAAGAGCUUCUCUCAGCAAAUUCUGUCAAUGAAGAAAAGACAGUAUUAUGAUGCCAUCACCUGUAGUGGUCUGAUAU
Molecule: non-coding RNA, 207 nt
Organism: Electrophorus electricus (electric eel)
Lineage: Eukaryota; Metazoa; Chordata; Actinopteri; Gymnotiformes; Gymnotidae
Source: RefSeq, a predicted model, not a curated record